AUACUACUCCCUCCGUCCCAAAAUUGUUGUCUUAAAUUUGUCUAAAUACGGAUGUAUCAAGUCACAUUUUAGUAUUCCGUAUCUAGACAAAUCUAAAAUAAGAAGUUUGGGACGGAGGGAGUACCGA
Non-coding RNA from Triticum aestivum (bread wheat), 127 nucleotides. Lineage: Eukaryota; Viridiplantae; Streptophyta; Magnoliopsida; Poales; Poaceae. The record is from Rfam.